This 240-nucleotide ribosomal RNA is filed under the name uncultured bacterium. RNAcentral describes it as "partial 16S ribosomal RNA". It matches the Rfam family "Bacterial small subunit ribosomal RNA", at positions 537 to 776 of the family's 1533-position model. The record is from RNAcentral.
AGCGUUCAUCGGAAUUACUGGGCGUAAAGCGUGCGUAGACGGUUAUGUAAGUCAGGUGUGAAAGCCCCGGGCUCAACCUGGGAAUUGCAUUUGAGACUGCAUAGCUAGGGUGCGGAAGAGGGAAGCGGAAUUUCCGGUGUAGCGGUGAAAUGCGUAGAUAUCGGAAGGAACACCAGUGGCGAAAGCGGCUUCCUGGUCCAGCACCGACGUUCAGGCACGAAAGCGUGGGGAGCAAACAGG